UACGGAAGGGGCAAGCGUUGUUCGGAAUCACUGGGCGUAAAGGGCGCGUAGGUGGUGGCUUAAGCGUGCGGUGAAAGCUCGGGGCUCAACUCCGAGUCGGCCGUGCGAACUGGGCUCACUGGAGCAUAGUAGAGGCAGGUGGAAUUCCGGGUGUAGCGGUGGAAUGCGUAGAGAUCCGGAAGAACACCGGUGGCGAAGGCGGCCUGCUGGGCUAUGGCUGACACUGAGGCGCGACAGCGUGGGGAGCAAACAGG
Molecule: ribosomal RNA, 254 nt
Filed under: uncultured bacterium
Lineage: Bacteria
Description: partial 16S ribosomal RNA
Rfam family: Bacterial small subunit ribosomal RNA
Source: RNAcentral